RNAcentral lists this long non-coding RNA (577 nucleotides) under Physcomitrium patens. RNAcentral describes it as "long non-coding RNA (PPAT_LNC001130)". Lineage: Eukaryota; Viridiplantae; Streptophyta; Bryopsida; Funariales; Funariaceae. The record is from RNAcentral.
GCAAAUCAACACGGCGCGUGUCCUUUAGAAGGUUCUAGAAGAUUCUUAGAAUAUUUCCUAAAGAUUCUCUUAGAAGGUUCUAGAAUAUUCUUAGAAGGUUCUAGAAUAUUCUUAGAAGGUUCUAGAAUAUUCUGAUAGAUUCUAGGAAGUUGCUCGAGAAGUUUUCUAAUUAGUAGAAGUUGUUGGAGAAGCGUCCUAGUUAGCGGAAGUAGCUCGAGAAGCUUCCUAUUCAGUAGUAUAUAUAGGAGUCGAGGUUGAAGGGUUCUUCAGUCUCGACAACACAUCUCUUGGAGUUCUAGCUCACCUUUCUGGUGUUGUUCUUGUACUCAUCUGUUUAAUCUAGUUCUGCCACUUCUUCUUGAACUUCUUGUUAGAUUUCAAGUCUGUAUUUUGUGUCCGUGACAGUAGCUUUGAUAAAUGAAUCGCCAAAUCUUUCGCAGCAGGAUUAUCAACUUUUGAAAAGUCAAAAGUAUCAAGUCAUCGAUGAUAACCAUAAUUAGCAAAGAAAGGUGUUUGUUUUGUAGAAGAAUGUACCGUGUUAUUGUAAGCAAACUCUGCCAAUGGCAAAAUAAUUGUC